RNAcentral lists this ribosomal RNA (460 nucleotides) under uncultured bacterium. RNAcentral's name for it is "partial 16S ribosomal RNA". It matches the Rfam family "Bacterial small subunit ribosomal RNA", at positions 338 to 795 of the family's 1533-position model. The record is from RNAcentral.
CCUACGGGUGGCAGCAGUGAGGAAUAUUGGUCAAUGGGCGAGAGCCUGAACCAGCCAAGUCGCGUGAAGGAUGAAGGAUCUAUGGUUUGUAAACUUCUUUUAUAUGGGAAUAAAGUGAGGAACGUGUUCCUUUUUGUAUGUACCAUAUGAAUAAGCAUCGGCUAACUCCGUGCCAGCAGCCGCGGUAAUACGGAGGAUGCGAGCGUUAUCCGGAUUUAUUGGGUUUAAAGGGUGCGUAGGUGGUUAAUUAAGUCAGCGGUGAAAGUUUGUGGCUCAACCAUAAAAUUGCCGUUGAAACUGGUUGACUUGAGUAUAUUUGAGGUAGGCGGAAUGCGUGGUGUAGCGGUGAAAUGCAUAGAUAUCACGCAGAACUCCGAUUGCGAAGGCGAUUCUCUGGACUGUAACUGACGCUGAGGCUCGAAAGCGUGGGGAGCAAACAGGAUUAGAUACCCUAGUAGUC